This 68-nucleotide transfer RNA is filed under the name Parupeneus cyclostomus (goldsaddle goatfish). Its description in RNAcentral is "tRNA-Ser". The record is from RNAcentral. Lineage: Eukaryota; Metazoa; Chordata; Actinopteri; Syngnathiformes; Mullidae.
GAGAGAGGCCUGCUGGCACCAGGAACUGCUAACUCUUGCCCCCUUGGUUGGACUCCAAGGCUCACUCG